UAAAGAUGAACUGUCUUGGCUAUGUGGAAAUUUCUGCACAGGUGGAGUCUGCACCACUGAAAUCUCUGACUGCAUUUUCAAAAGCUGGAACUAAGCUGUCAAAGAAGAAAGCCAAAAAACCCCUCCCUCUAUUAACAGUUACAGGCUUCUUCUACGGAGUCCUGUCUGCUGCUUGAAAUAACUCUCAGCUUUACGUAAGGAGCAGUAUACUAAUUCAGAUAAACUGAAUAUAAUUUGGUUCCCUGCUGAGCAGGUAGUAAAUUGCUUCUCUGUAGAAGUGACCGUGUCCUGUUUUAUAUGUCAGUCAUUUAUAUUUGUGAUUCAUGGUUAUUUAAGAAUCUGUAUUGAAAGAAGAUUUUAGAAGGAGAUCCAGAGGAAUAACUCACCAAAAGAUAAAUGUGAAUGAAAACAACGUGUUUUGUUCCAAGUUAUUUUGUCAUAACACAGGGUCUGUCCAAUGGUUUGUUGAAUAUCCCACAAGCCCAGUAUUAGGGGAAAAACGUGAAGCUCCAUUUGAACCCUUCAGGAACUAAAGUUGUAAUUGUUUUAGAGUUUUCAGUAGGCCACAUCCCACAGCACAAUGAGAAAUCUGGCACAAUAAUUUGUAGUUUGCCAUUCCUGAAUGAUGCCAAAAGGCUUAACGUUGUCCCAGCAAAAAGCUCAACUUGAAAAAGAGUGAACCUGGAAAUACGUUAUCCCUGGUCCCAGCAGUCUGAGCUGUGGAAGGUGACAAAAGGCAAAAGGAAGCACAAGUGCUGCAGAGCAGGAAUACCAGAAGGAGGGGCUCAGGAGCCAGGAAAAGAAAAGUGGAUCUUCUACGAAAACAGGUGAAGGAGGAAAAAUCCAAAAGAAAUCCAAGCAGUAUACUUUGCCAAAUGGGAACUGAACCUGAGUGCACAAAUCUGGAUUUGGUGGUGAAUGCUAAGAACUUCCCUGAUUACGUUGUUCCUACAAUCCCCAGCAGCACAGGAUGUUGGUGGAGAACUCUGCCCGUCCCUCAGAAGCAUAAGGCAGACAGCAAAACCAAAGAGCUCCUGACAGGUACCUGCACUGCUUCCGCAACUUAUGUUGAGUUUAUAAGCUAAGAAGAAAAUCCCUUGAUACUGAAAUCCUAAAAAACCUCCAGAUGUUUGUACAUCAGUCGUCCACUUUAAACUGGACAGUGUGAACAGCAAAGGGAGCUAAGCUACAAAAAUAUAAGAAAAUGAAUUAUUCAUAAAAGUGUUAUAUUUGUACUGAAGUAGUAUGACAAAACAUUUUAAAGCAAAGGUUAUGGAUUGUGGUAUCAGCAUAUGAUUAUACUGUAAGAGUGAUUUAACUAAUUCCAGUUCUACCAGAUAUGAGCAUCUAUACUGGAAUUACGCAGACGUGCUAAAUUUUUACUUCCCCGUUUUAUGCAUAAAAUGUUAAAGCCUAAGUGUCCAUUUUGAGUUCUCCUUAAACAUGAUGUCUUAACAUAAUUCAUUGACUUGGAAGAACUGCAAACAAUAGUAUGUGGUAACUACCUGCAGUCCAAGACAUUACUCGGCUCUGGUGGAGACGUUGUUGGCUGGAAGUCUGCUGGGGCGUCCCAUGCUGGCAUCUGUCGAAAUGCCUUAACUUACCGCCUGAACACACGGCCCCGGCGCUCCGGGAGCACAGGAGCGCAG
Molecule: long non-coding RNA, 1649 nt
Filed under: Anser cygnoides (Swan goose)
Lineage: Eukaryota; Metazoa; Chordata; Aves; Anseriformes; Anatidae
Description: lncRNA (ENSACDG00005019191.1)
Source: RNAcentral